RNAcentral lists this ribosomal RNA (301 nucleotides) under uncultured bacterium. RNAcentral's name for it is "partial 16S ribosomal RNA". It matches the Rfam family "Bacterial small subunit ribosomal RNA", at positions 509 to 807 of the family's 1533-position model. The record is from RNAcentral.
CAGUAGCCGCGGUAAUACGAAGGGUGCAAGCGUUACUCGGAAUUACUGGGCGUAAAGCGUGCGUAGGUGGUGGUUUAAGUCCGUUGUGAAAGCCCUGGGCUCAACCUGGGAAUUGCAGUGGAUACUGGGUCACUAGAGUGUGGUAGAGGAUAGUGGAAUUUCCGGUGUAGCAGUGAAGUGCGUAGAGAUCGGAAGGAACAUCUGUGGCGAAGGCGACUAUCUGGGCCAACACUGACACUGAGGCACGAAAGCGUGGGGAGCAAACAGGAUUAGAUACCCGCGUAGUCCCUGUCUCUUAUAC